UAUGGUAAUUGUGUGCCAGCCUCCGCUUUACUACGGAAGGUCCGGGCGUUAUCCGGAUUUAUUGGGUUUAAAGGGAGCGUAGGCCGGAGAUUAAGCGUGUUGUGAAAUGUAGACGCUCAACGUCUGCACUGCAGCGCGAACUGGUUUCCUUGAGUACGCACAAAGUGGGCGGAAUUCGUGGUGUAGCGGUGAAAUGCUUAGAUAUCACGAAGAACUCCGAUUGCGAAGGCAGCUCACUGGAGCGCAACUGACGCUGAAGCUCGAAAGUGCGGGUAUCGAACAGG
This 284-nucleotide ribosomal RNA is filed under the name Segatella copri DSM 18205. RNAcentral's name for it is "Prevotella copri DSM 18205 partial 16S ribosomal RNA". It matches the Rfam family "Bacterial small subunit ribosomal RNA", at positions 493 to 776 of the family's 1533-position model. The record is from RNAcentral. Lineage: Bacteria; Pseudomonadati; Bacteroidota; Bacteroidia; Bacteroidales; Prevotellaceae.